Molecule: unclassified non-coding RNA, 335 nt
Filed under: Hevea brasiliensis (rubber tree)
Lineage: Eukaryota; Viridiplantae; Streptophyta; Magnoliopsida; Malpighiales; Euphorbiaceae
Source: RNAcentral
AAAGGUUAGGGAUGAAGGGAAUGGUUUUAACAAGGAGGAACAAGAAAUGCCUAUUCUAGGGACUAUGAUUUAAGAAAAAGGUAAGUUUCAUGAAGGAGAAGAGUUAUCAAGAGCUAAUAUUUGGAUUUCUUGGCUUGAUUUAAGUGUAGCCAUUUGUGUGAUUGUUGUGUGAUUGUGAGAAUUAAUUAAGCAAACUAUCAUUUUUGUAAUUAUUUCAAAGCUCUUCCUCCCUUUUGAAACCCACUUGCACAUGGCAUGGGUGUUCUCUAUGAGUCUUAUGUAUGUGUUACAUAAUUAAUUAUAUGUUUUUAUAUUAUACUUCAAAAUACAAAUUU